Molecule: unclassified non-coding RNA, 2577 nt
Filed under: Hevea brasiliensis (rubber tree)
Lineage: Eukaryota; Viridiplantae; Streptophyta; Magnoliopsida; Malpighiales; Euphorbiaceae
Source: RNAcentral
AACAAAUCCAUUCUCAAAUCAUCAAAACUGGUCUCCACAAAACCCAGUUUGCACUAAGUAAGCUCAUCCAAUUUUGUGCCCUUUCACCCUCUGGUGAUCUCUCUUAUGCUCUUUUACUAUUCAAAACCAUUGAAAACCCCAAUCAUGUCAUUUGGAAUAAUAUUAUCAGGGGUCUUUCACUAAGUGAAUCCCCAAUUUUCGCUGUAGAAUAUUACGUUCGUAUGAUUUUAUCUGGUAUGAAUCCAAAUACUCAUACUUUUCCCUUCGUUUUGAAGUCUUGCGCAAAAAUCGGAGGUGCCCAUGAAGGGAAACAGAUCCAUGCACAUAUUUUGAAGCUUGGACUUGAAAAUGAUGCCUUUGUACAUACUUCUUUGAUUACCAUGUAUGCUCAAAAUGGUGAAUUGGAAAAUGCAAGAAUGGUUUUCAAAAAAAGUUCUAUGAGAGAUGCGGUUUCUUUCACUGCUUUGAUAACAGGGUAUGCUUCGAGGGGUUUCCUGGACGAGGCUCGAGAGCUUUUUGAUGAAAUUCCUGUUAGAGAUGUGGUGUCCUGGAAUGCUAUGAUAGCAGGAUAUGCUCAAAGUGGUCGAUUUGAAGAGGCAUUAGCAUUCUUUCAAGAGAUGCUUAGAACAACUGCCACACCAAAUGUGAGUACAAUGCUUAGUGUCCUAUCAGCUUGUGCUCAGUCAGGAUCCUUCGAGGCGAGCGAUUGGGUCCGUUCCAUGGUCGUGGAGCUUGGACUUGGAUCGAAUCUUAGGCUUGUAAAUGCAACUGUUGAUAUGUAUGCCAAGUGUGGAGACCUGGAAAAGGCUAACAAUUUGUUUGAGAGUAUACAAAGUAAGAAUGUGAUUUCAUGGAAUGUUAUGAUUGGAGGUUAUACUCAUAUGAGCUGCUAUAAGGAAGCCCUGGGGCUUUUUAGACGAAUGCUGGAGUCACAUGUAGAGCCUAAUGAUGUGACCUUGUUAAGCGUUCUUCCAGCUUGUGCUAACUUGGGUGCUCUUGGGCUUGGCAAAUGGAUUCAUGCUUAUAUUGACAAGAAAAGGAAAAUUUUGGCUAAUGGUGCUCUUUGGACAAGCCUCAUUGACAUGUAUGCAAAAUGUGGUAACAUAGAGGCAGCUAAACAAAUUUUUGAUGGUAUGAAUCCAAAAAACUUGGCUUCUUGGAAUGCAAUGAUUUCCGGGCUUGCUAUGCAUGGGCGUGCAGAUGUGGCUCUUAAUCUAUUCUCAAGAAUGACUAAUGAAGGGUUCAUACCAGAUGAUAUCACCUUUGUUGGUGUAUUAUCUGCAUGUAACCAUGCCGGUUUGCUAGAUCUUGGACGUCAGUAUUUUGGUUCAAUGAUCCAAGAUUACCAGGUUUCUCCCAAAUUGCAACACUAUGGAUGCAUGGUAGAUCUCCUAGUCCGAGCUGGAUUGUUUGAUGAAGCUGAAACCCUGAUGAAGAGUAUGGAAAUGAAACCAGAUGGGGCAAUCUGGGGUUCUCUGCUUGGAGCUUGUAAAGUUCACGGACGCGUUGAGUUGGCUGAAAUUGUUGCAAGACAUCUUUCUGAAGUGGAGCCUGAAAACUCCGGGGCUUAUGUGCUCUUAUCAAACAUCUACGCCGGAGCUGGUAGAUGGGAGGAUGUAGCGAAAAUAAGAACUAAGCUAAAUGAUAAGGGGAUGAAGAAAGUUCCUGGAUGUACGUCUAUUGAGGUGGAUAACAUAGUUCAUGAGUUCCUUGUUGGUGACAAGAUUCAUCCCCAGAGCAAAGAGAUUUACAAGAUGCUGGAUGAGAUAGAUAUCCUUUUGAAGAAGGCUGGAUUCGUACCGGAUACAUCUGAGGUGCUGUAUGAUAUGGAUGAGGAGUGGAAAGAAGGGGCUUUGAGUCAUCACAGUGAGAAGUUAGCCAUUGCUUUUGGUUUGAUCAAUACGAAGCCAGGGACAACAAUAAGAAUAAUCAAGAAUCUUCGUAUAUGUGGAAAUUGUCAUUCUGCUACCAAGCUAAUAUCCAAGAUCUUCAAUAGAGAAAUUAUUGCGAGGGACAGGAACCGUUUCCAUCAUUUCAAAGACGGUUCUUGCUCAUGUAAAGACUAUUGGUAAACUCGUGUUUGAUAGAAUGUGGAGUCUCUGUAGGAGAAGAAUCUGUAAAUUUUGUUUGUUAUCGAUUACUUUCAUAUAGAUGAAACUUAUUUUUCAUUCAUUCAAGCUGCUUAAUAGAUGCUCUUGAAAUUGGCAAACCCUUUAUUUAUACGUUAAUUGAUGAUGGAUUAAUUUACACAACUGAUGCUUAGAAUAGUAGAUAAAAUACGGCAUAAAUGGAUGUCCAUAUCGAAUAAAUCAUGCCUCAACGUUAGAGUUCUUGAAGGAGUUCCUACGUGCUGUAGCGAGGACAGUCUUGUCAGCAACUAUAAAAUAUGCUGCUCCAGCGACUGUAGAGAUUAUGAGAGCUUGAGCAGCGUGGUUCAUAUUGGCUCUUGCCCAAGGCAACAUUCUUGCACUGGCCAGAGUUGGAAUGGCAGUGGCAAUGGAAGCAACAACAGCUGCUUUAGCUCCUGCAACUACUCCUUCUGAUCAUCCGUCAAAAUUUGGAACAAAAGAUUAAGAG